This is a long non-coding RNA of Bactrocera dorsalis (oriental fruit fly), 752 nucleotides long. RefSeq lists it as uncharacterized. NCBI's taxonomy places the organism in Eukaryota, Metazoa, Arthropoda, Insecta, Diptera, Tephritidae. The record is from RefSeq and is a predicted model, not a curated record. The transcript is spliced from 2 exons.
GUCGAAUUGUAAGUACAUAUAUCAUUUAAUUUCAUUAUAAAUUAUUAACAGAAUAUUAUUAUUUUAGUUAUACUUGUUGGUGGUGUUGGCGUGAAUGUGGUUCUACUUAAACAUGGACAGGUUUAUGAAAAGAACAGCAAGCGAACAGCCAAAGCCUGAUGAGGAUCAAAAGAAGAGGAGGCGUGAUGUUUCUAUAGCUUGGGAUCAUUUUAAAAGAAUUUAUUGUAUUAAUUAUAUUUUAGAUUACUACAGAUGGCGACGCGUUUAAAACGUUAGCUAAAAAAUACUUCUGCGUUCCCGCAUCGUCGUGCGAAUCUGAAAGAGUUUUCAGUAAAGCUGGACAACUUAUAAGUGAGCGUCGCACGCGGCUAUCAUCGACCGUUGUCGAUAAGCUCCUCUUCUUAAACAAAAACAAACAUGUAAAUUAUAUGUAAAUAUAUGUAUAUAGUAGAGUUCGGGAUAGUAAGUAAGGAUAGUAAAGUAGGGAUAGUAAGUAAGGAUAGUAAAAUAAGCAAUGGUAUAGUAGGGAUAGCACAAUAUCCUAAAGAACUAAUAUUUUCUUUGGACCAUGUAUAUAUUGAAACAUUGAUAUUAAAUUUGUUUUUGUUUUUAGUUUUUAUUUACAAACUAAGGAUAGUACAAUAUACCAAAGAAGUGGGACAUGAAUAUCAUAAACAAUUUUAUUUUAAUUUGUUUUUCGUUUUCUUUUUUAUUUGAUAAGUGAUUAAUAAAAUGUAUACUUUUUGUUGAAA